Molecule: transfer RNA, 64 nt
Filed under: Cavia porcellus (domestic guinea pig)
Lineage: Eukaryota; Metazoa; Chordata; Mammalia; Rodentia; Caviidae
Rfam family: tRNA
About the family: Transfer RNA (tRNA) molecules are approximately 80 nucleotides in length. Their secondary structure includes four short double-helical elements and three loops (D, anti-codon, and T loops).
Source: Rfam by way of RNAcentral
GGGGAUUUAGCUCAGUGGCAUAAGCACCUGCCUUGUGAGCAGGUGGUCGUGAGUUCGAUCCCCG